RNAcentral lists this ribosomal RNA (254 nucleotides) under uncultured bacterium. RNAcentral describes it as "partial 16S ribosomal RNA". It matches the Rfam family "Bacterial small subunit ribosomal RNA", at positions 524 to 776 of the family's 1533-position model. The record is from RNAcentral.
UACGUAGGGGGCAAGCGUUGUCCGGAUUUACUGGGCGUAAAGCGCGCGCAGGCGGCUUUGCAAGUCAGGGGUGAAAUCCCAGAGCUCAACUCUGGAAUUGCCUUUGAGACUGUGAGGCUUCGAGUACGGGAGAGGUGAGUGGAAUUCCCAGUGUAGAGGUGAAAUGCGUAGAUAUUGGGAAGAACGCCGGUGGCGAAGGCGGCUCACUGGCCCGUUACUGACGCUGAGGCGCGACAGCGUGGGGAUCAAACAGG